This is an RNA transcript of Danaus plexippus (monarch butterfly), 3372 nucleotides long. It is a transcript of the gene named protein DEK-like, with no coding region annotated. Lineage: Eukaryota; Metazoa; Arthropoda; Insecta; Lepidoptera; Nymphalidae. The record is from RefSeq and is a predicted model, not a curated record. The transcript is spliced from 16 exons.
UUAUAUGCAUUGUGUGAAACUAAACGCAAACUUUUUUCUAUGUUGUGGGUGCGUGCAUUUGUGUUGUCCGGUGUUUGAAGACGCUUGGAAUUCGCUUUCAAUUUCUUCAUAGGAAAAAUGUCGGGUGAUACCGAUAAAGCGAAAAUCAGUGACAAUCAGGAUGAAGACAAGAAAUCCGGAACAGGCGACGGGCAGACGACGGAAGACGAAUCAUCCCAGGACUCGAAGGGUGAGUCGGCGCCAAUGGACGCGCAAGGUAACAACGUAGCAGACAAUAUAGAAGGAGACGCGAAGUCAACGACGGCGAACGGCAAAGAAGAUGACUGUCAGGGCGAGGACUCCAAGGAUGAUAGGGCUGUGAAGACGGAACACGCUAAGAAGGAAGAAAACGGUGAAACCCACGAUGAUGACGACAAAGAGGAUUUGAAGGAAAAUGACAAAGGGGCUAAGAAGUUAGCGCCGAAGAAGAAGCCCAAGAAAGAGGACACCGAAGAAGAGGAAGAAGAUGAAGAGGAGGAAGAUGAGGAGGAGGAGGAUGAAGAAGGAGAGGAGGGCGAUGAGGAGGAAGAGCAGAAGACAAAAGAGAAAGUAAAGAAACCAGUCAAGAAACCUAAAGACGGGGAGGAGGAAGGUGACGACGAGGAAGAGGGUGAGGAGGAGGGGGAGGAAGAAGAGGAAGAGGAGGAGGAGGAAGAGGCUCCGAAACCGAAACCCAAAAAGGAGCCAACUGAACCCCCUGUACCACUACCAGCUGGUAAAGGUAUACCCUUGGGGCAUAUCAGCAACGUGGAAGUGUCACUGUCGCGCUUCAAGACCCAAGACCAGAAGAUAUUGCACCAGUAUUUGUACGGACAACUCUGCCUGGAUCGCAACGUCAAAAGGAACAUCAAGAAGUUCAAAGGCUACGAAUGGGCGAUCGGUUCCACGGAGUACAAAGCUAAACUAGAAGAAACAGCCAAAAUGGAGCCCAAACAGUUGAGGACGAUGUGCGAGAUGUUGGACUUGGACAAAAAAGGUGGCGCCAGUGAGUUGGCUGCUCGUCUGGUCGGUUUCCUUCAGCAGCCGGUCGCGAACUCUCCCCACGCCCGCGGCGUUGCUCGCCCCCCUACCACGCAAGCGGCGACACCCGGCGGCCGACCGAGACGAUCAGCGGCCGUCAAGAUACACAACAGAGGCUACUCGGACGAAGAGUAUGAAUCUGAUCCGGAGACCAAGGUGAAGGGUCCCAAGCAGCCCAAGGACGGCUCGGAGGACUCUGAUGUAAGUGGCUCCUUCAACCCGAGCGGAUCUGAGGCGGACUCGGACUUCGACCCUGAAGGUGGUGAGGGUGUGAGCGGAGCCGCGCGCAAGAGGAAGAGCUCUGGACGACGCCGGUCCAGUAAGGGGAAGAGGGGGCGCAAGAGCAAGGGGAGGAAGAAGGGUGGCAGCAGAGGCCGCGGACGACGGGCACGUUCAGACAGCGAGGACGAGAGUGAACGCUCUGAUAGUGACAGCGAAUUGGACUCGGCCAGCGACGGAGACGAAUCAGAUGAACCGAAGUCCAAACGUGGUAGGCCCGCGGGGUCCGUGUCUAAGGGUCGCAAGGGAGCUGUAGCAAAGGCUAGCGCUAAAGCGACUCCCGCUAAGCGGAAAGCGCCUACACCCACAGGGAAGAAGAAGGCCGGUGCCAAGCCAGUCGGUAGACCAGCCAAGAAGGGCAAGCGGGCGUCCUCCGACGAAUCUGGAGAUGGAGAAGAAGGCAGCGAGGAAGAAGAUGAAGAAGGCAGCGAGGAGGAGGAGAGCGGAGAAGAGGAUGACGAGCCAACUGACAAGAAAGCCAAGCGUCCACCUACAGACGAGGAGAUUAAGAAGUACGUGAAGCAGAUCCUGGAGGGCGCGAACCUGGAGCAGAUCACCAUGAAGACGGUCUGCAAGCAGGUCUACAGCCACUAUCCGGACUUUGACCUGGCGCACAAGAAGGACUUCAUUAAAGCUACUGUCAAAUCGUGUAUUUAAGAUGUUAACGAGUUAAGGCGGAGUGUAGAUGUCUACAUAGCAUACAUAUAGUUUAUAAACUGAAAUAGUUAUAUAUUAUUACAAUAAUAAUAUAUUAUGUGAAAUAAUUGAAGUGGAAAUGGAUUUUACGCCCGCUUUUCUUUUCAAGCUCAUAUCGUCGUGAGCGUGUGGUCGGCCGCAACCCUAGCACUAAGCACAGCACUAAGUCCGAAGAUCCGGCAUAGUAUAAUUAUAUAGCCUAAGAAUAAUCCUCCUGUUGUUUUAAUGUUUAAUUUGUAAUAAAAAUACUAUAUAUUACAUGUGUUUUGUUUCGCCGCGUCGGGACCAUCUGUCGGUCGGGCGAUGCAUCUAACUUACUUCUGUUCCGUGUCGUCUCACCGUCGGCAUCAGUUAUAUAUAUAAGAUCUGUGACUAUCGUACGCAUCAAUUGUACAAAUUCGGCUCAUUCAACUCGGCACGACAGACAUACGUGCGGAAAUGUUUUGUAGUUUAUAAUACUUCUAGACAGCACGUGGUGGAUCGUAUGUCUGUGUAUAAAUUAUUAAAAUUGUUAAUUGGUUUUAAUACGUGAGGAGGGUAAGGUUUUUGUAUGUAGGCUAUAACUAUAUGAUUUGCAGUCUCUAACUCGAUUAAGAUUUGGUUAAGAGUAUUAUAAGAUGUGUAAAUACACAGGACUGCACGUUUGGGAACUUCGCUUCGCUGAAUUCGGUUAAGGAUAUGGUAUAAAGGUUGAUAAAAAAAAAAUUAUUCUUGUACGAACUUUUUGGAGCCGCCUUUUCAUACAUUUUUUUUUUAAUUUUUCAUUGUUUCCGAAAUAGUUUUGACAGAUGUUGUAAUUAAAUUGUGCAAUAAUAUCAAAGUUCUACAGUAAUGUGUAAUGAUCCGUCAUCGACCGUACACGUCGCGAGUCUGGCGUUGUAUAUUUAUAUAUCUUUUGUUUCUUAAGUGUAUUUUGUGGCCGAACUGUUGCUAAGUCCGUGAGCUAAACAUUCUAGAUGUAUAUGGUCUGGCGUCCAUAGACGUGAGACUAACGCCUCCGCGCACAGAGACCGUGUCUAUAUCCAGGCCUCGGUCCGUCGAGUCGUUGGCUAUAUAAACAUUAAUAUAUUUUACUAUGACUUGCAUACGGAUUUUUUUUUUAUUAUUUUUACGUACAAACCUCUAUCGGCGUCCAGACCGUCUAAUGUAAGGUAGUCUUAAUCAACAUUAAAUGUGUAUUUGUGAAUUUUUAACCUUAUUUUUGGUUGAUGUUUCUUUAUAUUGUGUAAAUGGAUGAGAUCAGUAGAGUAGUGACACGGAGUGAUAGAGUGACUGGUUCCCUUUUACAAUUGGAAUAUAGAUAAUAAAAAAAAAACAAAUAAAAAGUUUGAAAUGUCA